RNAcentral lists this transfer RNA (69 nucleotides) under Oedionychus cinctus. RNAcentral's name for it is "tRNA-Gln". Lineage: Eukaryota; Metazoa; Arthropoda; Insecta; Coleoptera; Chrysomelidae. RNAcentral also lists the same sequence under 1 other name. The record is from RNAcentral.
UAUGUUUUAAUAUAAGAUGUAUAGUAAUUUUUGAUAUUACAAGAAAUAGUUUAAUUCUAUUAAACAUAG